Molecule: ribosomal RNA, 326 nt
Filed under: uncultured archaeon
Lineage: Archaea
Description: bacterial SSU rRNA
Rfam family: Archaeal small subunit ribosomal RNA
Source: RNAcentral
CCGACGGUGAGGGAUGAAAGCUGGGGGCACGAACCGGAUUAGAUACCCGGGUAGUCCCAGCCGUAAACGAUGCUCGCUAGGUGUCAGGCAUGGCGCGACCGUGUCUGGUGCCGCAGGGAAGCCGUGAAGCGAGCCACCUGGGAAGUACGGCCGCAAGGCUGAAACUUAAAGGAAUUGGCGGGGAGCACAACAACGGGUGGAGCCUGCGGUUUAAUUGGACUCAACGCCGGACAACUCACCGGGGGCGACAGCAAUAUGUAGGCCAAGCUGAAGACUUUGCCUGAAUCGCUGAGAGGAGGUGCAUGGCCGUCGCCAGUUCGUACUGU